Molecule: long non-coding RNA, 259 nt
Filed under: Musa acuminata (dwarf banana)
Lineage: Eukaryota; Viridiplantae; Streptophyta; Magnoliopsida; Zingiberales; Musaceae
Description: long non-coding RNA (MACU_LNC004577)
Source: RNAcentral
UGGGCAGCUAGAGGGAGAGAAUGGUGUUCAAAGGGGGUUUGGAGCCGUUUGGGGGAGUGCAAAAUGAGUAGGUGUCGGUUCUACCACCGGCCCUAGCUUGGAUUUAUAAAGGGGCAGGUUGCGGGCGGUGCUACCGCACUUAUUUGCUAGCGGUGCUACUGCCUACAACAUUUGUUUGCUGGCGGUGCUACCGCCUACAACAGGUUCCAGCUGGGUGGUGCUACUGCCAGCUGGGGCGAUGCCACCGCCUACAGGCUGU